GAUGAACGCUGGCGGCGUGCCUAAUACAUGCCAGUCGAGCGAACGGACGAGAAGCUUGCUUCUCUGAUGUUAGCGGCGGACGGGUGAGUAACACGUGGAUAACCUACCUCUAAGACUGGGAUAACUUCGGGAAACCGGAGCUAAUACCGGAUAAUAUUUUGAACCGCAUGGUUCAAAAGUGAAAGACGGUCUUGCUGUCACUUAUAGAUGGAUCCGCGCUGCAUUGGCUAGUUGGUAAGGUAACGGCUUACCAAGGCAACGAUGCAUAGCCGACCUGAGAGGGUGAUCGGCCACACUGGAACUGAGACACGGUCCAGACUCCUACGGGAGGCAGCAGUAGGGAAUCUUCCGCAAUGGGCGAAAGCCUGACGGAGCAACGCCGCGUGAGUGAUGAAGGUCUUCGGAUCGUAAAACUCUGUUAUUAGGGAAGAACAUAUGUGUAAGUAACUGUGCACAUCUUGACGGUACCUAAUCAGAAAGCCACGGCUAACUACGUG
Molecule: ribosomal RNA, 497 nt
Filed under: uncultured bacterium
Lineage: Bacteria
Description: partial 16S ribosomal RNA
Rfam family: Bacterial small subunit ribosomal RNA
Source: RNAcentral